This is a long non-coding RNA of Perca fluviatilis (European perch), 922 nucleotides long. RefSeq lists it as uncharacterized. The transcript has 4 exons. Lineage: Eukaryota; Metazoa; Chordata; Actinopteri; Perciformes; Percidae. The record is from RefSeq and is a predicted model, not a curated record.
AGCCAAUCAGGCGGAACAGAGAGAGUGAUCCUGCUACAAUCUACUCCAGAGUGAGAACCGAAGACGUCUGUUAUGGACAAAUAGUGAUCAAAGACAAGAAGACAAACAGGAAGAGAGAGAGUGAUCGUACUGCAAUCUACUCCGGAGUGAGAACAACAGACGUCAGUUACGGACAAAUAGCGAUCAAAGACAAGAAGACAAGAAGGAAGAGAGAGCCUCCAGCAGAUCCAGAGGUCCUCUACUCCUCACUGAGGAAGACCUGAACACCAUCACACCAGUCCAACCAGUGGAGUCCAGCUGGCCAAUCACUGGUCCCCAGAGACCCUCACAUCUACAUCUGUAUAGCCCCGGUGUAUUUGUCGGAGAUUUUAAACCUUUGAAAGCACAAAAAGGUCAGUCCGUUCAUCCAAUCAAAUGGCUUUAGAAGUCGCAAGGUAGAGGUACAAACUGUGGGGGGGGGGGGGAAAUCACUCUUUUGCAGUUGCUGACUCGAGACUUUGGAACAAGUUAACACCUGACAUUCAGACGAUUACAGACGUUCUUUUGAAAUCCAAACUUAAAACUUCUUUAUUUAGAAUGGCUUUUAAUGCACAGUAGCCUUGCGGCAUUAUCUCUUUAUUUCUCCUGUUUCUAUGCAACGGUUUCAGAUUGUACUGUAUUCUAUGUUUUACUCUUUUUAUUGUACGGUAUGUUGUUUUAUUUUUGGUCCUUCGAGCACUUUGGAUACCUGUUGGUUGCUGUAAAGCACUUUAUGAAUAAAUGUUGAAGAACAACUCAUAUUUUAAGCAUGUUUGCAUUCUUUAGAUGUGUUUUGUUCAAACAAAUGCUUUUUAUUUAAGUCAUAGAUUUGUUCCUCUGUAAGCGUUCAUUACGUUGCACAACAACCAACAAAUAUCUACUGAACAGAGUCUAAUUAUAACAA